Molecule: RNA transcript, 1266 nt
Organism: Canis lupus familiaris (dog)
Lineage: Eukaryota; Metazoa; Chordata; Mammalia; Carnivora; Canidae
Gene: WFDC3
Gene name: WAP four-disulfide core domain 3
Exons: 7
Source: RefSeq, a predicted model, not a curated record
CGCGACGCGGCGAGCCGCGGGGUUUCCAUGGGAACCGCAAGGCCGCGUCCCGCUGGGGCCCGGAAGCAGGCAGGCGCUGUGAGCCGCGCGGCGGGGGCUUCUUCUGCGGCCCGGCCGGCUCCUCGGAGUUUGAUCACCAUCAUCACAUGUGCCCUUUGGGAGUGCCAGGCAUUUUCCCACACACCAGCAACCACUUUUCUUCUUGUCCGGAGAAGACGUCCUUGGGGAAUAUUGCGAAAGGGAAGACUUUGGGGCUGGGUUUGGGCCAGUCUCCUAGUCCUGCCCUUCCCUUGAUUGAUGCUCUGGGUGAGGUGUACACCUCCGGCCUGGACUGAGCGCUCAUCUCAACUCUCCGCGCCAUCAUCAUGUCUAGCUGCUGCUUCUUCCUGAAGGCACUUCUUGCUCUUGGGUCCCUGACAUCCUGGGUGGCUGCAGGAGAGCAUGUGAAAGAAGGAGAAUGCCCUCCUGAUAAGAACCCAUGUAAAGAGCUGUGCCAGGGGGAUGAAUCGUGUCUGGCUGGGCAGAAGUGCUGCAGCACUGGCUGUGGUCGGGUCUGCCAAGGAGGCAUUCCAGAGGGGAGGAAAGGAGAUUGCCCCAGGGCUGUUCGGAAACAAUCCUGUUUUCAAAGGUGCGUCACUGAUGAGACUUGUCCGGGUAUAAAGAAAUGCUGCACGUUUGGCUGCAACAAGAGCUGUGUGGUCCCAGUCCCUAAGCCAAAGCUGGAGUCUGGUGGUGAAUGUCCUGCUGACCCCCUUCCAUGUGAGGAGCUAUGUGACAGGGAUGAGUCCUGUCCCCAGGGGCAAAAAUGCUGUAGCACCGGCUGUGGGCACGCCUGCCGUGGAGACAUUAAGGGCGGGGUGGUGAUUGUCCAAACAUUUUGGUGGGCCUGUGCAUUGUUGGCUGCAUGAUGGAUGAGAACUGCCAGGCUGGGGCAAAAUGCUGCAAGUCAGGCUGCGGCCGCUUCUGUUUCUCUCCAGUUCUGCCACCGGAACCAGCCAUGAACUCCAACUGGACCUCAGGUCUGAUUCUGCAUUAGAGAGCCCGAUGCCUUAGCUGUCCUGAUUUAUCCUGAGCUGCUUGGUGACUGCAGGGGGCUUGUUCUGGCUGCCAGGAGAGGGUGAUGCCCUGGGGCUGUGAGCCUCGUGGGGGCUCUCGUGGCCCUCUUUGCUCUGCUUCUGUUCCUGCUGCUGCCUUGAGCAUGGGAAACAGAGUUGUGGGUUUGGGCAAUGGUGUGCAGUGUCCCCAAUAAAGACUUUGCUCACCUUC